This 744-nucleotide ribosomal RNA is filed under the name Mycobacteroides abscessus. RNAcentral's name for it is "bacterial SSU rRNA". It matches the Rfam family "Bacterial small subunit ribosomal RNA", at positions 32 to 800 of the family's 1533-position model. Lineage: Bacteria; Bacillati; Actinomycetota; Actinomycetes; Mycobacteriales; Mycobacteriaceae. The record is from RNAcentral.
AAAUCCGGCGGGUGCUUACCUGCAGUCGAACGGAAAGGCCCUUCGGGGUACUCGAGUGGCGAACGGGUGAGUAACACGUGGGUGAUCUGCCCUGCACUCUGGGAUAAGCCUGGGAAACUGGGUCUAAUACCGGAUAGGACCACACACUUCAUGGUGAGUGGUGCAAAGCUUUUGCGGUGUGGGAUGAGCCCGCGGCCUAUCAGCUUGUUGGUGGGGUAAUGGCCCACCAAGGCGACGACGGGUAGCCGGCCUGAGAGGGUGACCGGCCACACUGGGACUGAGAUACGGCCCAGACUCCUACGGGAGGCAGCAGUGGGGAAUAUUGCACAAUGGGCGCAAGCCUGAUGCAGCGACGCCGCGUGAGGGAUGACGGCCUUCGGGUUGUAAACCUCUUUCAGUAGGGACGAAGCGAAAGUGACGGUACCUACAGAAGAAGGACCGGCCAACUACGUGCCAGCAGCCGCGGUAAUACGUAGGGUCCGAGCGUUGUCCGGAAUUACUGGGCGUAAAGAGCUCGUAGGUGGUUUGUCGCGUUGUUCGUGAAAACUCACAGCUUAACUGUGGGCGUGCGGGCGAUACGGGCAGACUAAAUUACUGCAGGGGAGACUGGAAUUCCUGGUGUAGCGGUGGAAUGCGCAUAUAUCAGGAGGAACACCGGUGGCGAGGGCGGGUCUCUGGGCAGUAACUGACGCUGAGGAGCGAAGGGGGGGGUAGCAAACAGGAUUAGAUACCCUUGGUCCUCCA